This 1166-nucleotide ribosomal RNA is filed under the name Clostridioides difficile. RNAcentral describes it as "partial 23S ribosomal RNA". It matches the Rfam family "Bacterial large subunit ribosomal RNA", at positions 12 to 1187 of the family's 2925-position model. The record is from RNAcentral. Lineage: Bacteria; Bacillati; Bacillota; Clostridia; Peptostreptococcales; Peptostreptococcaceae.
UAAGGGCGUACGGUGGAUGCCUAGGCACUUGGAACUGAAGAAGGACGCAACAAACGGCGAAACGCGACGGGGAGUGGUACGUACACAAAGAUCCGUCGAUAUCCGAAUGGGGAAACCCGGCAGCAGUAAUGAGCUGUCACCCAUGAGUGAAUACAUAGCUCAUGAGGGAGGUACCCGGAGAACUGAAACAUCUAAGUAUCCGGAGGAAAAGAAAAUAAGAAUGAUUCCGUAAGUAGCGGCGAGCGAACGCGGAGGAGCCCAAACCAGAUCUUGAUCUGGGGUUGUAGGACCACGAAAUGGCAAGAGCAUGGCUAAGAGAACGGCAUUGAAAGGCCGACCGGAGAGGGUGCAAGUCCCGUAACUGAAAGUCUAGCGAAGCCUAGUGGUAUCCUGAGUACGGCGAGACACGAGAAAUCUUGUCGGAAGCAGGCGGGACCAUCCGUCAAGGCUAAAUAUACCCAAGUGACCGAUAGUGAACCAGUACCGUGAGGGAAAGGUGAAAAGAACCGCGGGAGCGGAGUGAAAUAGAACCUGAAACCGUAUGCUUACAAGAAGUCAGAGCCCGUUAAAGGGUGAUGGCGUGCCUUUUGUAGAAUGAACCGGCGAGUUACGUUAUCGUGCGAGGUUAAGUAGAAGAUACGGAGCCGAAGCGAAAGCGAGUCUUAAUAGGGCGACAGUACGAUGAUGUAGACCCGAAACCGUGUGAUCUAGCCAUGACCAGGUUGAAGUUCAGGUGAAACUGAAUGGAGGACCGAACCGACCCCCGUUGAAAAGUUGGCGGAUGAGUUGUGGCUAGGGGAGAAAUUCCAAUCGAACACGGAUAUAGCUGGUUCUCCCCGAAAUAGCUUUAGGGCUAGCGUCGAGGUAGAGUCGCAUGGAGGUAGAGCACUGAAUGUACGAUGGCCCCAUCCCGGGGUACUGAGUAUAAUCAAACUCCGAAUGCCAUGCAGACAUACUCGGCAGUCAGACUGUGGGUGAUAAGGUCCAUGGUCAAAAGGGAAACAGCCCAGACCGCCAGUUAAGGUCCCAAAAUGUAUGCUAAGUGGAAAAGGAUGUGGGGAUGCACAGACAACUAGGAGGUUGGCUCAGAAGCAGCCAUCCUUCAAAGAGUGCGUAACAGCUCACUAGUCGAGUGACCCUGCGCCGAAAAUGUACCGGGGCUAAGC